RNAcentral lists this non-coding RNA (22 nucleotides) under Arabidopsis thaliana (thale cress). Lineage: Eukaryota; Viridiplantae; Streptophyta; Magnoliopsida; Brassicales; Brassicaceae. The record is from RNAcentral.
GCUCCAGCCUCCAGCUCGUGGU